Molecule: ribosomal RNA, 362 nt
Filed under: Polycentropus interruptus
Lineage: Eukaryota; Metazoa; Arthropoda; Insecta; Trichoptera; Polycentropodidae
Description: eukaryotic LSU rRNA
Rfam family: Eukaryotic large subunit ribosomal RNA
Source: RNAcentral
CGUCUUGAAACACGGACCAAGGAGUCUAGCAUGUGCGCGAGUCAUCGGGAGCGACGAUAGACCCGAAGGCGCAAUGAAAGUGAACAGCGCCGUCGGCGUGCGCGCCGACGGCCGCAGGGAAGAUGGAGGGCGCGUUCGCGCGCGUCCUCCCGCAUUCCCGAGGCGUUUCGAGAAAUGCCAUCGCCGCGAUUAUCGAGACGCACUGAGAGCGCACACGCUGGGACCCGAAAGAUGGUGAACUAUGCCCGGUCAGGUCGAAGUCAGGGGAAACCCUGAUGGAGGACCGAAGCGAUUCUGACGUGCAAAUCGAUCGUCCGAACUGGGUAUAGGGGCGAAAGACUAAUCGAACKAUCUAAUAACGG